GACGAACGCUGGCGGCGUGCUUAACACAUGCAAGUCGAACGGAAAGGCGCUUCGGGGUCCUCGCGUGGCGAACGGGUGAGUAACACGUGGGUGAUUUGACCUCCACUUUGGGAUAAGCCUGGGAAACUGGGUAUCAUACCCUAUAUGCUCAUAAGAUUCUUGGUCGGUUGGGGCAAGCUUUUGCGGCGUGGGAUGGGCCCGAGGCCUAUCAGUUUGUUGGUGAGGAACUGGCUUGCAAAGUAGCCGAGUGGUAGCCGGCCUGGGAGGGUGACCAGCGACACUGGUCCUGAGAGACGGCCCAGACUCCAACGGGAGGCAGCAGGGGGGAAUAUUGCACAAUGGGCGCAAGCCUGAUGCAGCGACGCCGCGUGAGGGAUGACGGCCUUCGAGUGGUAAACCUCUUUCAGCACAGACGAAGCGAAAGUGACGGUAUGUGCAGAAGAAGAACCGGCCAACUACGUG
This 462-nucleotide ribosomal RNA is filed under the name uncultured bacterium. RNAcentral describes it as "partial 16S ribosomal RNA". It matches the Rfam family "Bacterial small subunit ribosomal RNA", at positions 28 to 507 of the family's 1533-position model. The record is from RNAcentral.